Molecule: long non-coding RNA, 290 nt
Filed under: Chloebia gouldiae (Gouldian finch)
Lineage: Eukaryota; Metazoa; Chordata; Aves; Passeriformes; Passeridae
Description: Erythrura gouldiae (Gouldian finch) lncRNA (ENSEGOG00005019522.1)
Source: RNAcentral
AAAUAAGAGUUGUUUCUUUGUGAUCUUUGAACUUGUUUGCAUGUUUCUCAUUUGUUCUUUCAGGUAAGACAGUGAAGUCUUUAACUGCUCCAGAAGAAGAGGGUCUGGAAAGAAAAUGUCUCUGGCAAAAAAGUAUCAGAUUUCUCAGGGGACAAAAUUUUGCUUAUUCAUACCUUCUACUGUGGCAAAAAUGGAUUCUUUUCCUCACCAAAAACCAGCAGCAUAACACCCAUCCAACACCUGCCUCAAGGAACUCUCAUUAUUUAAAGUCUAUUUUUAUUUCCCUGUAG